RNAcentral lists this small nucleolar RNA (149 nucleotides) under Moschus moschiferus (Siberian musk deer). Its description in RNAcentral is "Small nucleolar RNA SNORD97 (ENSMMSG00000010524.1)". It matches the Rfam family "Small nucleolar RNA SNORD97". Lineage: Eukaryota; Metazoa; Chordata; Mammalia; Artiodactyla; Moschidae. The record is from Rfam by way of RNAcentral.
UUGCCCGAUGAUUAUAAAAAAGACGCCUUAUUAGAGGACUUAAUGCUGGCAUUCUUUAUCUUUACCUUCUUUCUCUCUUUUCUGUACUACUUUUUCUUUCUUUGAAUGUCCAGCGUCCUGUGAGCGAAGAUUAUGAGAUAUGAGGGCAA